This 386-nucleotide ribosomal RNA is filed under the name marine sediment bacterium BB0608_2216_2.1_8G0. RNAcentral's name for it is "bacterial SSU rRNA". It matches the Rfam family "Bacterial small subunit ribosomal RNA", at positions 89 to 476 of the family's 1533-position model. The record is from RNAcentral.
UGACGAGCGGCGGACGGGUGAGUAAUGCAUAGGAAACUGCCCAGUAGUGGGGGAUAGCCCGGGGAAACCCGGAUUAAUACCGCGUACGCCCUUCGGGGGAAAGCAGGGGAUCUUCGGACCUUGCGCUAUUGGAUGUGCCUAUGUCGGAUUAGCUAGUUGGUGGGGUAAAGGCCUACCAAGGCGACGAUCCGUAGCUGGUCUGAGAGGAUGAUCAGCCACAUCGGGACUGAGACACGGCCCGAACUCCUACGGGAGGCAGCAGUGGGGAAUAUUGGACAAUGGGGGCAACCCUGAUCCAGCCAUGCCGCGUGUGUGAAGAAGGCUUUCGGGUUGUAAAGCACUUUCAGUGAGGAGGAAAAGUUGGUCGUUAAUACCGGUCAGCCUUG